CACGACUCUCGGCAACGGAUAUCUCGGCUCUCGCAUCGAUGAAGAACGUAGCAAAAUGCGAUACCUGGUGUGAAUUGCAGAAUCCCGUGAACCAUCGAGUUUUUGAACGCAAGUUGCGCCCGAGGCCUUCUGGCUGAGGGCACGCCUGCCUGGGCGUCACG
RNAcentral lists this ribosomal RNA (161 nucleotides) under Paspalum scrobiculatum. RNAcentral's name for it is "5.8S ribosomal RNA". It matches the Rfam family "5.8S ribosomal RNA". From Rfam's summary of the family: 5.8S ribosomal RNA (5.8S rRNA) is a component of the large subunit of the eukaryotic ribosome. Lineage: Eukaryota; Viridiplantae; Streptophyta; Magnoliopsida; Poales; Poaceae. The record is from RNAcentral.